ACCCAUUUACUUGUAAGUACUUAGGUAAGUAUAAGUUAUAUAUGCAAAAACAAAACUAAAAAAAAAAAUGUAUAUAUUUACAUAAUAUGUACCUACUAGUGUUUCACACAUUUUUUUCAUUACUUUAGGUAUAGCUAUUAAAACUAUAAGCUAUUACAAGCUAGUAUAUACUAUAAAUAAUUACAUAAAUUAAAAAUUGUAUUAUAAAAAUACAUUCAUCGCUCCGCUGAAAUCUAAAAGGCUUACAGGAGUGGAUCUGACCCCCCAAGGAGUAUGAUUGUUCAAGUCAUAUAUGAGAACUAUAAUAAAUUAAGGGCAUCCCUUCACGUCUUCUUUUGAGCCACUUCGACCACUGAACACUGACGUCCUCAGAUUACGUUAUUUUAAUUAUGAUACUUUAUACAAAUUAAAAAUAAGACAAAAGAGGUGAGCAUACUUUUACAAUAUUGCAUACUAAAAAGAUACAACAAAUAUAAUAAUGUUUGAACUCUUUAUUAAAUUGAUUUCGAAUAUCCAAAUUGUUUAGACAUAGGUAACAUAAAACUUGCCCUGAACGCCACUGCAGAAGUAAAAGUCAGAUGCGCAUACGUCCAAUAUAAUUAUUACUUACAAUAUUAUAAAUCUGUUUAUGCUAUGUACCUUAAUGUAUAUACAUAUACCUAAGUAUAGCGGUUUCGCCGUACACGCCACAGCGUAAUAAUAUUAUAUCCUAUCUAUUUAUAUAAUCGUAGAAAUUGUACACAUUUUAUUUCCUCUAAGGCCAAUGGACUGCCUAUGUAUAUAAUAACUAAUAAGUGCCAAGUGGUUGUGUCGUACGCGAUCUUGGAUCUGUCAGCAACCGGCAAUAAUAUCAUUUCACACGCGAUAAUGUAUUGUAAGUUUUCAUUAUAUUUAUUAGUAUUAUUAUUAUUAUUAUUAUUAUACAUUCUGUACAGCCUGUGUCAACAAAUCAAGUCAAUGUUUACUCUGCGUUUGUCAUCGACGGUCGUCGUGCGCUUAUUUUACAAGCCCAUUCGGGUAUAGGCCACUAUAUACAGUUAAACUAUACGGGUGCAAUUAUUCAAAAAAAAAAAACCACACGCACAUUAAAUUUUAUAAUAUACAAUAUCCUGUGUUAUUCACUUCCUGUAACAAAAACGCCAAAACGAAUGUAUAGACCACCGGUGGUCGGGGGUAGAGCACGUUGCAGUCUACUGCUAUAUAGGUAGUUUAAAAACAACUACAAUAUACAAACAUAAUAUGAUAUACCAUAUUAUACACACGGUAAUAUACUGCACCUCAACACCUCGGCGAUAUAGGUAAGCAAUAAAAAUUAAAAUGUCAUUCGAUACGGCUGCAAUAUCCGUGCAGCCCCGUGACGAUUGUAAUGUAGCUAAUAGCUAUAUAAUAUCAGUCGUGCAUAAUCGCAAUAGGUACAAAAUUAUUUCAUGUACCAUUGGGUUGACACACAGCAGAUAGAAUACUAAAACACUAGUAGGUAUAUAUGAUAUAUGGGCUAAAUUAUAUGCAUGGCGGCGGAGGGUGGGUGAACUAGGUUUGAUAUUAUUUUUAUAGCUCGAGGGACAACAACUAUCGCUACGUCGUUACCGAAUCAUAAAAUGAUUUUCUACUCCCGGUUCUGCAGCAAUUUCCCGGAUAAUUUGAAACCUGGUGAAGUUCUAAACGUUUCAACCACCAUACCCCGGAUUGGGCCGCGGGUUAAUAGCCCUGCAGCAUUGCGGUGCAGGACGAUUGGAAACUUUUAGCCUGUUUGGUAUUCAAAAUCCAUACAACAUAUUUUGUGCACUCGAUAUUCUUAAGAAUAUAGACCAGUCAUUCGCUCACAAUUCGAUACAAAGUAGAACACGGACGAUAGGUCGCCUCUGAGGGGCUAAUAAAUUAAAUACAUAGAAUUAUAUAGGAUUCUAUUGAUUCACAUAUAUAUUAUGUAAAAUGUGCCUAUACGGAAGCCAGAACCUUACUAUGCGUUCCGAUUUGAUUUUUAACGUUAAUAAUAUAACGGUGAUGAUAACAAUUUUCAUAGAAACAUAAAAUAUGUCAUCUCUGAGGUUUUUCCCACGACUCGCAUAUGGCGACUUCUUAUCAGGAUCAUGUUUUGAUUAAUACAUGCAUUUUAUGUAUUUAGUUCAGCGGCCAUAGGUACGUCUUCACGUCUGGGCCCUAUUAUUUUCUCAUAUCGUGAAGCCGGUGCUCCCGGAAUUCGUAGCUAUACGUCGUGUCGUAUGCGUGGUAACUACCUAUAUGGUUACAACUGGUAACCAAUAUGGCUUAAAAGUUAAGCUGAAGUAAAUUCUUGGUAUACCCGGUUGCAGUUCGGUUAUUACACGAUACUAAAAAGUUAAUCUCCAAUCACAAUGCUAUAUUUGAUCAACACGGCGCGGUACAAGACGUCGCAGUGAAUGGGCAUUAACACUUACGGGUGAAAAUGGCCAUUCGGAAUUCCUGUCGCAUCACAAUGCAGAGCUAUUUCCACGGUCCAGCUCAUGGUCGAUAGACUGCAGUGUCGUCAUCAGAUGUUCGUUCACGGCGUAUCACUUAAGUACUGUUCUCGAUUAACUAUAUUAUUCGUGAGUGCCGGAAUAGGUGGCUCGUGGUUAUAGACUUAUAGUUACAGUGUAUUUUGAGAAUCAACAACAUAUUUCAUCAGUAGGUAAUAGGUAGGUAUAUAUAUAAUAUCGUUUAUUCUGAACUCUGAAGUAUUAUUCUAGUACUUAUAUGUAACUCAUACUUUAUAUAUAGUAAGUAAUAAAAUUAUGUAUAUUAUGUGUAACUUGUUCUGCGUAAUUGAUUUAUUGUUUGUCAAUUCGCCAUUUUUUCCCUAUUAACAUAAUUCUAACAGUAUUGAAGACAGUAACUAAAAACAAUACUUAGAUGAUCUAAAAAUUUAAAUCAUAAUCUUACAUAUAUAUAUUCUACAAUAAUUUGUAGUUAAUAUGUUAUUUGUAAUUUAACUUUGUCAAUGUGACGUAAAAUAUGUGAAUACGGCCACAUAUAAAUAUAAGUUUUCAGUUUUGCUAAUUUUUAUGUAUUUCAACACGUUAUUGUUUAUAUAUAAGAAGUGCCACGAAUAUUUUAUCUAUAAGUCAAAUGACAAAUAUUGAAGCUAUCCACCCAUCCGCCCACACACAUAAAACUAAAAUAUGUCUAUGCAUAAUUUUUUUUGCUAUAAAAUACAUAUUGAAUAUUAAUAUUAUAUUACAAUAUCAAUGAACAUUAAUGUAACCUAUAUCUUUCUAUAAAAAUAUCUUAUAUAAUAUAUAACAUUACCAUUUAUUAUAAUUAUUACAUACAUGCAAUAAUAAUGUAGCACGCGUUUUGUUAGUUAGUUACAUGCUUGCUGACUCUUAUUAUUUAGAGUAGGUAUAAAUCAGUAUAAUAUACCUAUUGAAUAAUGUUAAUUUUUCACAACAUAUUAUUAUCAACAUAUUACUUAUUCAAUAAUGAUAGUUAAAAUUCAACUGUUAAAUACAAAAAAUAUUUGUAUUCACGAACAAAAUUACCCA
Long non-coding RNA from Myzus persicae (green peach aphid), 3503 nucleotides. RefSeq lists it as uncharacterized. The record is from RefSeq and is a predicted model, not a curated record. NCBI's taxonomy places the organism in Eukaryota, Metazoa, Arthropoda, Insecta, Hemiptera, Aphididae. The transcript is spliced from 3 exons.